This is a long non-coding RNA of Crotalus tigris (Tiger rattlesnake), 702 nucleotides long. RefSeq lists it as uncharacterized. The record is from RefSeq and is a predicted model, not a curated record. Lineage: Eukaryota; Metazoa; Chordata; Lepidosauria; Squamata; Viperidae. The transcript is spliced from 2 exons.
ACGAAAAAAAAAAAUUUCCAUCGCCCAAUGAAAAACGGGGCGUUUUGGAGUCAGGGGAACCACCCGCGCUCUUCUUCCAGUUUCGGGGUUGUUCGUCUUGAGGUUUACGGGCUGAUCUAAAUUCAAAGAAAAAUGCCUUUGCCUAAUACUGAAUGAAAAAUAUGCUGUCUUCAGAACAAGUAGCAGUUGCAGCUGAACCAUUCUCUACAUAACUGAACCUGAAAAACUCUCUUCCCAACAAGAUGACAAUAAUGAAAAUUGUAAUGUUGUGGUAUGGUAUGUCAAAUAGAUUUCUAUAUGGGAUACAAAAGUUAAAAGUAUUAAAAAGCUAUUCCCAAAGAUAUGCAACUGUACAAGAAAAAAAUGGGUGGUUGACAAGUAUUUCCUUUGGCAAAAAAUGUAUGUUGACACAAAAAAUGUAAGAAAAUUGAACGAUUGCUAUGUAUGGUCUUUUGCAUGGCAAUCCACUUAUUUGCAUUUGUAUUUGAUAUUAUAUGGCUCUCUUUUCUACAUGCACCCUAUUCAGAUGCAGGUCUCAAUGUGCAAAAUAUAGAAUGAAUGAACUUUUUUUCACAAUCUCUAAAUGAGGACAUCUGUUAUUGACAAGUGAUUUCAAAAGCUACAUGCUAUGUGAAUUCAUUUUUUUAUCUAACAUCAAUGAAUAGUAUCCAUUUUAAAAUAAAUAAGGAAGGUGUUUAAUAA